Molecule: long non-coding RNA, 529 nt
Filed under: Elaeis guineensis (African oil palm)
Lineage: Eukaryota; Viridiplantae; Streptophyta; Magnoliopsida; Arecales; Arecaceae
Description: long non-coding RNA (EGUI_LNC005762)
Source: RNAcentral
AAAAUAUUAUUCUCAGUCGUUAACCACUGCUACUACGAGAUAAAUGAAACCUAGUAACAAAGGGAGGGGAACGCGUUUGGGUCGCUGCGCUUCUCACGUUAGGUGUUCCGCGUCUCACGUCCGGCUGUAACCAGUGGCAACGCCUGGGGAACUCCACCUUCCUCCGGAAUUAGCUAGUCGGAUGGAUGACGAUGCGGGCUCACCGAAUGAAUGGUGGACAUUUAUUACCGAUCGUACAUGUCCCGUUAAUGAAUGCAGUGAUGAAAAGUUGGCGUGGGAACCGUGAAUCUGCCAUCGGAGUGCCGGGGUCGUUGGACCGAUGGUUCCAGAAGCGAGAGGGAUCCAAGGAUCGGGUUCGACGGGGUCAGAAACGAGGGCCACGUGGCAAUUCGCUGAAUCUGAUUCAAUCUGAUUGGAUUUGUAGUGUUGCUGUGCACCCGCCUCCACCGACAACCGAUGUAAACUAGUUUACGUCUUAUUCACGGCAAGGCAUUACUGAUAGCGACUUCUUGUUAGCCGUCCAAUCUCU